Corylus avellana is the source of this 1427-nucleotide non-coding RNA. NCBI's taxonomy places the organism in Eukaryota, Viridiplantae, Streptophyta, Magnoliopsida, Fagales, Betulaceae. The record is from RefSeq and is a predicted model, not a curated record.
GAAUAAAAAAAAAAAGCUUUUCUUUUCUCUCUUCAACUUCUCUCUUUCUCUGUCACACUCCUUUUCUCCUCUCACAUUCUCCUCUGAUCUCCUCUGCAAUUCACGCUUGCGUUGGGUCUCUUCGACUUCUUCUUCUCUCACGUUCUUCCUCUGAUCUCCUCUGCAAUUCAUGCAUGCCAUUGCCAUCGAUUGACACAGCCAGCACCGCUGAUCGCCUCCAUCGAACCCGCAGAUUGAUCCCCGGCAUCGAUAUGGGCAUAGCUUGCAUGUAUACUACGAAGAGUGGUGCAAAGCGGAUGCUGGUCAGCCAUUUUUCUACUGGUUGGAUGUAGAGGAAGGCAAAUACCUCGAUCUCCAACACUGCCCAAGACCAAAGCUGCGACAACAAAGCAUCAAGUAUCUUGGACCUGGUGAACCUUCUUCUUCUUCUUAUAAGCUUGCUGUUUCUUUCAUCCAAAAUUGUGCAGAAAAGCUUGAGUCCUAUGCUUGUGGGUUUCAAGCCCAUAAACGUGUGGGUAGUUUGUUGAUGACGACAACAAGUGCUACUUGGAGAUCAAUUACACAUUUGAUAUCCGUAAGGAUUGGUAGUUGGUUAGACUGGGAAGUCUCCCUUCAGUGUUUCUGUUUUUGUUACCUGUUAAUUGUUUUAUAAGCAUAAAUCUGCUUUAGUGUUGACAUGUCUCAUUUCUAGUAUCGUAUCUAUUUUCAAUCCUUUCCGAGAUCAGCACCUAAACAAUGAAGAGGGGAUUUUUAUAAGCAUACAAUUUGAUUUGUUUGUUUUCUUUUUUCUUCUUUCUUCUUUCUUCUUAUGCGUAACAAUGUGUUGUUCAUAUAAGUUGAAUUGUUUGUUUGUUGUUUUUAGCAAAUAGUGGUUGGUUUAUUGCUUUUCCACUGUUUUGUUUCCAACUCUUGGUGUGCUUGACGUUUAAUGCAUCAACAAGAUCAAUAUUUUCUUUGCCUUGUAUUAUAGUGAUAGCAAAUUCAUAAAUGUUCUUAAUCAUUUUUUACCUUGGCAUUCACUUAUGGUUUUUCUAUUUGCAGCAAAAUAUGAUGUUUCGAUAUCAACGGCAUGUGCUGGACUUGAUUAUAUUGUAGUGGAAACAACCAGUGUAGCCCAAAGAUGUGUUGAGCUACUCUGGAGGGAGAAUCUUGGUGUUGCAACUUUCAUGAUAUUGGAUUCUUUGGAGCUCUUGGAUUGAAGCUUGGACAAAGCUGUGCGCAUGAUUUUGAUUUCUCCGGUUUAUAUCACUUAAGUUUAGAAUUACCAAAAUAUAAAUUGUUCAUAUACAAUCGAAUCUACCAGCUUGUUGAGAUGGUAAAAAGCGACAUUCUGCAAACUAAAGAAAAUAUUUACAUAUUGUGCGACCUAUUUGAUUUACUCACUCUAGGUUCAUGUUGCAAAAUUUUGUUCUUAACAUUAUGGAUAU